AGCGGCGGACGGGUGAGUAACGCGUGGGUAACCUGCCUCAUACAGGGGGAUAACAGUUGGAAACGGCUGCUAAUACCGCGUAAGCGCACAGUACCGCAUGGUACCGUGUGAAAAACUCCGGUGGUAUGAGAUGGACCUGCGUCUGAUUAGCUAGUUGGUGGGGUAACGGCCUACCAAGGCGACGAUCAGUAGCCGACCUGAGAGGGUGACCGGCCACAUUGGGACUGAGACACGGCCCAA
Molecule: ribosomal RNA, 240 nt
Filed under: uncultured bacterium
Lineage: Bacteria
Description: partial 16S ribosomal RNA
Rfam family: Bacterial small subunit ribosomal RNA
Source: RNAcentral